Molecule: long non-coding RNA, 2041 nt
Organism: Cephus cinctus (wheat stem sawfly)
Lineage: Eukaryota; Metazoa; Arthropoda; Insecta; Hymenoptera; Cephidae
Exons: 4
Source: RefSeq, a predicted model, not a curated record
UUCGCCGCGAAGCCGACUUUUCCCUUUUUUUUUACUUCUCUUUUCUAUUUUAUACAGAUACCAUCUACGUCUCUCUCACUCGUUCUCGAUGCUUGUAUUUAAUUAAGAAUAACUCCUACAGCCGUAUUCAUGCACAAGAGUUUCCUUUCCAACGUGAGAAAAUCCUUCGCGCACGAUAUCCUUCGAAGAGUUUUGAAAACUCGUAGGAAAAUACGUUGCCACCGUAAUACGAACGAUUCUUGCCGUCCUGAACGGAAAUACUGAAACAGUAUAGCCCGUAUUCAGAACUCGCUUUUAGUGCUAAUAGUACGCUUUUAAAUUUUUUCCUAGUGACUUUUAACUACAAGCGUCUCUGUUAGUGACUUUAAGAGCGAGUUGUUAAUACGGACUUAUGUGUGUAUGUACCUUGCGAGACUAGAAGUCCAGGCGCAGUCUAGCCCGAUGUUAGUAAGAUGAAUAUUGUCGAAGUUUAGGCUACUUUGCGAUAAUAAAAAAUAUAUAUUGUCAAAGAAUAAUAUUUGCUUCGUGUUCCAGUCGACUCCCAGUGAUACGAUCAGCGCCAUCCUCGAAUUUCCGUAUGACGACUCGCCGUCGGCAAAUCUAGGACUUCCGCACGUGCUACGGGGCAUUGGUGUUACGACAAUCCAUAGUCAAGUGUCUACCAUUAGCAGACUGCCAGAUGACGAUGAUAAUCACUCGUACCGUAGAACGAGGAUCGGGUUUAUAGGGUACAGAGAUCAUCGGUUUGCCACUGGGGUUUGACAUAUAACCUACAACACAUAGACUACCUAGAGACAGCGAAGCGACAAGAUACGUGGCUGCUCAGUGUUUACGUACAGAGUACGUCCGUAUGUACAUGGAGACAGGGGCUCACAGGUUAGCCUCGGCCCACAUUGGCAUAACACUUUCACUGACGUAACACUUCACUCUAAACUGUUGCGUUGCCCGUGGUUGGGCCCUCUCCUUGUCCUCCUCAUCGCCGCCCGUCGCCAAACCACAAUCCGUUUCUCUCGCUUCCUACCUCCCGAGUCCACCGUCGUCUUCCCAGUCCCGUAUCGGGGCUAAUCGCAGUCGUUUACUCUUCCGUAGGGACUAAUCGUGAAAAACAGCUCGAAUCCCUUUUACAUUACUCGCAGAGGUUACGUUGGCAAACUCUCUUACGACUGUCAAUAAAAUAAUUCUUUAUGGUUACGCUCCUCGGAGAUACGAAGUUAGUGUAUAGGGAUCGCCGCUAGGUGGAACCACUAGCCAUACCUGGGUAACCCGCGUUACGUGGAAUAGAGGAAGUUUCGUUGGCGCCUGAGAGACAUAGCCUCAAUCUCCAAUUGAGGGACUGAUCGCCGGCUUAUGGUGUGUAUAUAAGGAAACUACCGAUCGCUCAGUCGACUCUCUUGCGAAACUGUUUACUCGAAGGUAUCAUACUUUUGCUGAAGUACAGGUCCAGGUAUAUUAAUUGUAUCGUACCUUUUUCCCUCGUGCCAACCAUACUAUCCAGAGCACGUAUAACGAUAUUAAAAUAUAGGAAAGAUAAACAGUCGCUAAUACGAGGUACCGACUGGAUAUAACAGUUUAUUCUAUGACGCCAUCUUGGAUAUACACGUGACUUACGUGCAUUGCGCGUAUCGUACUGAAAGAUAUUUUUCUCACGGAAAUAUAUACCGACAAGUGUCCUUCGAUUUUAAUUGCCGAUCGACUCCAGCCCAGCAGUAUGAAAUAAACGGAGGUUAGGAUAUCGAUCUUCGUAUUGACUAACAGGAAUGUAAUUAUCCAUCUCGACACCUCGUACACGUAUGCAGCUCAGAAUCGAGAUCCAGAUAAACACGGCACGGACUUAUCCGAAUUUCGGCAAAGUUACUCGAGGCUAAUUGUUCCUCGGGGUUAUUAUAAAUUUAACUCGUUAUUCCUACGGCGAAUGGGGAAAAGGGGACACGAGCAUGAGACCGGGGAGAGGCAGCCCUUUUUCCGGCGAGCGGCAAAGGGAUGAAACCGAAAGAGGACCAAGCAAGGAAGUCUUCGGUAUAAACAAGGAGUCGUCGGUAGG